UUGUUAGCUAACCCGGAAGAAAACAUGCAAAAACUCGCCAAAUCACGUGACUUGGAUAGAUUCUAAAACACAAAAUACGCACGGAACGGAAGAACUCGAAAAUCUCCUAUUAGGCAGCGUUGUAAUCGCGGAUUUACAUUAUCCCAAAACGGUAUGUUUUGCGGUAUGUAUGGUAGUGUUUCUGUGUGCGGAGACGCAGAGAACUCUGCAGGGGUGGAUCCAGGAAUUGCGGUUACGGGAGGGGGGCGCCACUUUAUGAGGCAGGGGGCCUGGGGGCGCCAUGAGUCUCCAGGGGGUCCAAGGGCAUAGCCCUGGUAGGGAUUCAGGGGGCAAAGCCGCCGGAAGCUCCUGGAUUUUACAGAUUUUAUAGGAAUCUCACUAUUCGCAACUUUAGGACUAGGCUAUUGCGCAUGCGCUAAUUCUCACCUUCACCUUCUGCAUCCAACAUGGCGCAAAGUUUGACAGUCUUUUUCGUAAGUAAUAUUUAUCAUUUCGUUAGUGGUUUAUUUCACUGAAAGUACAUUUUUAAACAAACGGAUCAUAAAUGCCCUUUCAAGAUGGAUAUCCUACAACAUUUCUGACCUAAAACACUGCUUUUAAAUGCAGUUUCACAUACAGAACAAGCAUGAGAAUUAGUAGGUCGGUUAGCUCUAAGUAUAAAUUGGUGGUAUCGAUAUGUUAAAUGUUUCAGGACAAUUUAAUUUGCAUGUUAUUUAUUCAAAUGGUUUAUUACAGGCACUCAAUCGUCAUGUUUUAUUUUAGCAGGUCAAGCUAUAUCUGUAUAUUACAUUGUGUAGAGUGAUAAGUAAGUAAAUUUUAUUUAAACUCGGCACUGUAUACAAUAGUAACAAAUAACAUGAGCUCUACAGAGCUCGUAAACUGACUAGGACAGACAAAACAAAAUAUCACAAGGUAAGCAUACAAAAAACACAGAUAUAGCCUACAUAUAUUUACAUGCAUACUCACUAUUCCAUUAUUUUGUUGAUCACCAUUGAUUCAUAUACUGUCUAGCUAUUCAGUAUCAUACUGUAUAGCUAGACAGUAUAUGAAUCAAUGGUGAUCAACAAAAUAAUGGAAUAGUAAUCAGAUUCCACAUCAUACUAAUUCAUGCUUCAAUGCACACAGGGUAGUGGACAGUUCACAACACAAAAGAAAUUCCCUCAUCUUGAAAAUUCUUAUAACAACAUACUACGUAGUAUUGUUAUGAAUUCUAGAACAAUGUUGUGGUUUAAAAGCUCAAGAAAUAAACAUAUUUAAAAAUUAUUAUGCGACUUUCUGGGUACGCCAUUGCACUUAGAAAUUCAAUCUUAUUUAGUCUAAACUAACUUAAAGUUCUAUAUUGUCAUAAAUUACUGUGCUGAUCAGUAAAUUUUAUUUUAAUUUGUGUCAUUUUUUGUAAGUGACAGUGCUUUCUACUGUAGUGUUUGGGAUAAAAGAAGGCAGUGACCAGUGCUCAGUUCCUGUAAGAAUAUACACAAUGUGGAUGGUACUUGAAAAGUUAUUAUGCUGGAGUUGAGAACAGAGGAUCCCUACCCUCAAUGGUGUCCUUCGGAUUGAGCUGAUGCAAGUGUCUUUAAAUCUUACAUCUGAGUCAUGGCUUCAAUCCUAAAAUUAGCCCCUCUGUUGUCCAAGAGUGCUGGACAGCCUGUUGAAAGUACCGAUCAGGAUGAAUAUCUGACAUCAUAUGGACUUCACAGACGACUUAUAGUAGGUGAUGGGAAUUGUCUCUUUAGGUCUGUUAGUCUUGCCCUCUAUAGAAAACAAAAUGAUCACCAAGAGCUAUGAAAUGCAGCAAUACAUGAAACUGAACAAAAUUUGGAUACCUUAGUUUCAUAUGUUUUCUUUCAUUCUAAUGGUAAUCUUAUGACUUAUCCAGAAAUUCAACAGGUACUGAAUAAUCUUAGGCAGUGAGGCACUUUUGCAGGGCAGGAAUCAGUUUUGGCAAUGUCUAGACAUUUUGGGAUCAAUUUAUUAGUAACUGUUGGUGGUGAUCAGGAUAAUAAAGUUGUGACUCUUGAACAUGACUUUGGAAACUCAAAUUCUAGAAUUCAUUUGAUUUGGAUGGGGGUAGGGGUGGGCAUUCUGAAGGAGUGACUGAAACAUCACCAUCAGACAAUUAGAGAGAACCAUUAUCAUAAGGAUUCAAAAGUAAUUGUUGCUGAAAUUUUUACCAUUCUGCAUGUAGGAAAUUUGACAAGGUGGACAAAACAAAACUGGAACUUAAAGAUGAUAAAUAAGAUGGGUAUUCCAUUUUAUUAUCAGAUAUACAUGUACAUGCAUGUCUAUUCCUUUCAAUGUCAUGCAUAAUGCAAGUAUGGAUAAUGUCUUAAAUAGACUAUAGACAAUGGGGAAGGGUAUAUGAAAAACAUUUUCUGUAGUUCAAUCAUGUUCAGUUUUCAUCUAACAGUUUGUUUCAGUUAAAAUUUUUCAGUUUGUUUUAUUGUAGGUAUUUGUGUACUGCCUGUCUAUCAAUGUAAAUGUUUAUUGCUUAAAAGAUUUCAAGGAGACCAUUCUAGCAGUAUGUGCUAUUAAAUUUCAAUUUUUUAACUGAUUGACAACUGUAACAGGCACCAAGUCAGUCCAGUAGUAGACUCACAAUGGCAGAUGAUCUUAUCCGGCAGCUCUAUGCCAGUGUCUCAUUGCAGAAUUGUCAAUGAAUUCAUGAUUAGACAGACAACAGUACAGUCAGAUUAUUUGUUGAUUAUUAGUAUUCUACUAACGUAGUUCCACCUUCCUGUGAUGCCAAAAGAUUUCACAAAGUCAAUGUGAUUUGUUUCAUUGCUGCAGAAUUUCAGUUCAAAAUGGGCCGAAACUUUCCUGGUUUCUUGAAUGUUUUAAUGUUUAAACAUGUGAAUUUUGAGAAAUGUAAAAAUAAAACUUGUAAAAACAUACAUGCAUUUAAAUGUAUAUUGGAAACCAGGAAGGUAUCAGAGAUUAUCCUCGACAAUUUUGGUGUCUCAGUUUGAUCUCUUCUCUGACUGAUGAGGCCCAGGGAGACAAACUGACAUACAUAGUCAUCAGAUUCAUUUACCAUGAAACUUGGUAGGGCUGUGUAGCCUUGUGAUUUUCAUACAGACUCACUUUUCAAUUAUGAUAGGGUGUAGAAAACCACAAGAUUUCUAUGCAUUACAUAACUUAUAUACAUUACAGAGUUGGUCAAUUCUGUAGAUCAAUAAAAGCUAUUUAAAUCACUUUAAAGGGAAUUUAUUUAAAACACCUUAAUAUUAAAAUGUAAUGAACUUGAUUAUUGCCAAUGAAGUUCUCAUAAAUAUUAUCUCUACUAUGCCAUAUGGAUUUUGCAAUAUUUGCAAAAUUAGUUUUAUUGUUUAAUAUCAUUAACUAUGAAUUUGUUAAAAUGAAAAUUGUACACAAAAUUAACAAGACCAAAUUUCCUUUACAGAGAUAAGGUUCCUGAAAAGACGUCAUAUGUACCAAAUUGAUGCAUCAACUCCUGCAAGGAAAUUUGUUGGGUUUUGUGAAAUAAAAGCGUAAUAUUUUCUCAAGAUUAAUGGAUGUUUUGAGAAGAUUAACACAUGUAUUCAUUUUACAGAUGUAGUAAACAGUUACUAUUGCAUACCAGUCAGCAUGGACAGAGUUAAAGGUUGCACAUGUUCAGUGAAAAGUACAUCAAGGAGAAUACAUUCGGCAGAAAUUUCUUUUAUUUUUAAUAAAUAUCAUAUAAAACAUUCAGAACAACUGGAUCCUGCAUGUACAUGUGUAUUACACUUGUAAACUGUCUUGGUUAUUGGGAGUACCAAACCAAUAGUCUGGCAAAUGAUUUAUAACCAGACUGUUAACAGGCUCUGUCCCUUGGUACACCCUGUAAUCAAGUCAACAAAUCAUGCUUUCUUCAACUUUUUAAAUUUUUUUUUUUUAAUUAUAUAGCACAAUUAUUUUCAUUUAUAUAAUUACUUAAACCUUCCGGCUUUAGACAUAAAACAUUUAGAACAACUGGAUCCUGCAUGUACAUGUGUAUUAUACUUGCAUACUGUAUUUUCUAAACUCUUAUACUGAUAUUGAUUACAACUUCACAUGUAUUCACACAACAUUAUCAUUAUCCACUGUCUCUGAAACUGGCACUGUCCUUAGAUGUGUGAAGCAGUUUGGUUAUUCUAUUGUAUAUUUCAUUAUGUUAGUUUAAAUUCAGUCUGAAAUCAGUAUUUCAUAUAUAAUCAUAGAUGUGUGCAAAGUAGUAGUAGAUCUGAAUGAUUGUUAUUUAUUUAUAUUGUUAUAAUUAAUUACUAGUUAAACUGUACGUGCCCUUGAUUGGUGAAUAAACUCAUUAUUAUUAUUAUAAAGUAAA
Ostrea edulis (European flat oyster) is the source of this 4303-nucleotide long non-coding RNA. RefSeq lists it as uncharacterized. The record is from RefSeq and is a predicted model, not a curated record. Lineage: Eukaryota; Metazoa; Mollusca; Bivalvia; Ostreida; Ostreidae. The transcript has 3 exons.